Molecule: ribosomal RNA, 347 nt
Filed under: uncultured bacterium
Lineage: Bacteria
Description: partial 16S ribosomal RNA
Rfam family: Bacterial small subunit ribosomal RNA
Source: RNAcentral
CCUACGGGCGGCAGCAGUGAGGAAUAUUGGUCAAUGGACGAGAGUCUGAACCAGCCAAGUAGCGUGAAGGAUGACUGCCCUAUGGGUUGUAAACUUCUUUUAUAUGGGAAUAAAAUGUUCCAUGUGUGGGAUUUUGUAUGUACCAUAUGAAUAAGGAACGGCCAACUCCGUGCCAGAAGCCGCGGUAAUACGGAGGAUGCGAGCGUUAACCGGGUUUAUUGGGGUUUAAGGGAGCGAUGGGGGAUUUUUAAGUCAGUUGUGAAAGUUGGCGGGCUAACCGUAGAACUGCAGUGGAAAUGGGGGUUCUUGAGUAUGGGAGAGGUAGGCGGAAUUGUUGGUGUAGGGGG